This 571-nucleotide small RNA is filed under the name Pongo abelii (Sumatran orangutan). Its description in RNAcentral is "processed transcript". Lineage: Eukaryota; Metazoa; Chordata; Mammalia; Primates; Hominidae. The record is from RNAcentral.
AUUCAUCUAUCUGCAUCUGCUUACACAUCUCUACUUAUUGUCUGAUACAAGAAGCUGUUAUAGAUUACUAAGCUGAAGUUGUGACAGGUAGUACUGAUGGAAUUGGAAAAUCAUACGCAGAAGAGUUAGCAAAGCAUGGAAUGAAGGUUGUCCUUAUCAGCAGAUCACAGGAUAAACUUGACCAGGUUUCCAGUGAAAUAAAAGAAAAAUUCAAAGUGGAGACAAGAACCAUUGCUGUUGACUUUGCAUCAGAAGAUAUUUAUGAUAAAAUUAAAACGGGCUUGUCUGGUCUUGAAAUCGGCAUCUUAGUGAAUAACGUGGGAAUGUCGUAUGAGUAUCCUGAAUACUUUUUGGAUGUUCCUGACUUGGACAAUGUGAUCAAGAAAAUGAUAAAUAUUAAUAUUCUUUCUGUUUGUAAGAUGACACAAUUGGUACUGCCUGGCAUGGUGGAAAGAUCCAAAGGGGCUAUUCUGAACAUUUCGUCUGGCAGUGGCAUGCUCCCUGUCCCACUGUUGACCAUCUAUUCUGCAACCAAGACUUUUGUAGAUUUCUUCUCUCGGUGCCUCCAUGA